GUAGGGAAUAUUGGGCAAUGGGGGAAACCCUGACCCAGCAACGCCGCGUGAGGGAAGAAGGUUUUCGGAUUGUAAACCUCUGUCCUUGGUGACGAAAAAAAUGACGGUAGCCAAGGAGGAAGCCCCGGCUAACUACGUGCCAGCAGCCGCGGUAAUACGUAGGGGGCGAGCGUUGUCCGGAAUUACUGGGCGUAAAGGGUGCGUAGGUGGCCUUUUAAGUUGGAUGUGAAAUACCCGGGCUUAACUUGGGGGGUGCAUCUAAUACUGGGAGGCUAGAGUGCCGGAGAGGGAAGCGGAAUUCCUAGUGUAGCGGUGAAAUGCGUAGAUAUUAGGAGGAACACCAGUGGCGAAGGCGGCUUUCUGGACUGUAACUGACACUGAGGCACGAAAGCGUGGGGAGCAAACAGGAUUAGAUACCCCGGUAGUCC
This 428-nucleotide ribosomal RNA is filed under the name uncultured bacterium. RNAcentral describes it as "partial 16S ribosomal RNA". It matches the Rfam family "Bacterial small subunit ribosomal RNA", at positions 354 to 796 of the family's 1533-position model. The record is from RNAcentral.